This 22-nucleotide microRNA is filed under the name Ixodes scapularis (black-legged tick). Its description in RNAcentral is "Isc-Mir-315_3p* (star (passenger))". The record is from RNAcentral. Lineage: Eukaryota; Metazoa; Arthropoda; Arachnida; Ixodida; Ixodidae.
CCUUCGAGUGACUAUCAAAUCU